AUUGAACGCUGGCGGCAGGCCUAACACAUGCAAGUCGAGCGAGCGGCGGACGGGUGAGUAAUGUAUGGGGACUGCCCGAUAGAGGGGGAGAACUAUUGGAAACGGUAGCUAAAACCGCAUACUAUCGGAUAACCCAUAUGGGAUUAGCUCGUAGGUGGGGUAAUGGCUCACCUAGGCGACGAUCCCUCGCUGGGCUGAGAGGAUGAUCAGCCACACUGGAACUGAGACACGGCCCAGACUCCUACGGAGGCAGCAGUGGGGAAUAUUGCACAAUGGGCGCAAGCCUGAUGCAGCCAUGCCGCGUGUAUGAAGAAGGCCCUAGGGUUGUAAAGUAUUUUCAGUCGGGAGGCGUUACCGGCAGAAGAAGCACCGGCUAACUCCGUGCCAGCAGCCGCGGUAAUUC
This 403-nucleotide ribosomal RNA is filed under the name uncultured bacterium. Its description in RNAcentral is "partial 16S ribosomal RNA". It matches the Rfam family "Bacterial small subunit ribosomal RNA", at positions 30 to 526 of the family's 1533-position model. The record is from RNAcentral.